CUACGUAGGUGACAAGCGUUAUCCGGAUUUACUGGGCGUAAAGGGCGUGUAGGCGGUCUUGCAAGUCAGAAGUGAAAUUCCUGAGCUCCACUCGGGCGCUGCUUCUGAAACUGCAGGACUUGAGUGCUGGAGGGGAUAGCGGAAUUUCUUGUGGAGCGGUAAAAUGCGAAGAUAUUAGGAAGAACACCGGGGGCGAAGGCGGAUAUCUGGACAUUAACUGACGCUGAGGCGAGAAAGCGUGGGGAGCAAACAGGAUUAGAUCCCCUGGUAGUCCACGCCGUAAACGAUGAAUACUAGGUGUAGGGGGUAUCGACGCCCUCUGUGCCGCAGUUAACACAAUAAGUAUUCCGCCUGGGGAGUACGGCCGCAAGGUUGAAACUCAAAUGAAUUGACGGGG
Molecule: ribosomal RNA, 397 nt
Filed under: uncultured bacterium
Lineage: Bacteria
Description: partial 16S ribosomal RNA
Rfam family: Bacterial small subunit ribosomal RNA
Source: RNAcentral